This 792-nucleotide small RNA is filed under the name Pan troglodytes (chimpanzee). RNAcentral describes it as "retained intron". The record is from RNAcentral. Lineage: Eukaryota; Metazoa; Chordata; Mammalia; Primates; Hominidae.
AGCAUUUCCGGCAGCCAUCCCCGCGGUGCUGACAUCCCGGUUGUUCUUCUGUGCCGGGGGUCUUCCUGCUGUCAUGAAGGACGUACCGGGCUUCCUACAGCAGAGCCAGAGCUCCGGGCCCGGGCAGCCCGCUGUGUGGCACCGUCUGGAGGAGCUCUACACGAAGAAGUUGUGGCAUCAGCUGACACUUCAGGUGCUUGAUUUUGUGCAGGAUCCGUGCUUUGCCCAAGGAGAUGGUCUCAUUAAGCUUUAUGAAAACUUUAUCAGUGAAUUUGAACACAGGUAAAACCCUCUCAUCCGUUUUUCACUUUGAAAAUGAGUACAUUGAUACUCAGUGGUACUCAAAGACUGGUGGUUUUUAUUUCAGGGUGAAUCCUUUGUCCCUCGUGGAAAUCAUUCUUCAUGUAGUUAGACAGAUGACUGGUAAGUCUCACUUUGUUUUAUAAAGGAGCAGAUCCAAAUGGUGGUUAAAAUUAUUUUGAAAUAUAAGUUAACUGAACUUUUGUGUUUUCUGUAUCAGAUAUUAUGUUUUUAUUAUACUUUAUGGUCAAAACCUAAAGAUUACCCUACCUAAGGGUGUCUUGGUUAGCAGAAACCGGUCUGUUGAUGGUCCUUCUGAUUGUUCUUUCUUUUCCAGAUCCUAAUGUGGCUCUUACUUUUCUGGAAAAGACUCGUGAGAAGGUGAAAAGUAGUGAUGAGGCAGUGAUCCUGUGUAAAACAGCCAUUGGAGCUCUAAAAUUAAACAUCGGGGACCUACAGGUUACAAAGGAAACAAUUGAAGAUGUUGAAGAA